Molecule: ribosomal RNA, 468 nt
Filed under: Ottowia sp. canine oral taxon 014
Lineage: Bacteria; Pseudomonadati; Pseudomonadota; Betaproteobacteria; Burkholderiales; Comamonadaceae
Description: bacterial SSU rRNA
Rfam family: Bacterial small subunit ribosomal RNA
Source: RNAcentral
GAGUUUGAUUAUGGCUCAGAUUGAACGCUGGCGGAAUGCUUUACACAUGCAAGUCGAGCGGCAGCGCGGGGCAACCUGGCGGCGAGCGGCGAACGGGUGAGUAAUACAUCGGAACGUGCCCAGACGUGGGGGAUAGCCCGGCGAAAGCCGGAUUAAUACCGCAUGUGAUCUGAGGAUGAAAGCGGGGGACCUUUGGGCCUCGCGCGUUUGGAGCGGCCGAUGGCAGAUUAGGUAGUUGGUGGGGUAAAGGCUUACCAAGCCUGCGAUCUGUAGCUGGUCUGAGAGGAUGAUCAGCCACACUGGGACUGAGACACGGCCCAGACUCCUACGGGAGGCAGCAGUGGGGAAUUUUGGACAAUGGGCGAAAGCCUGAUCCAGCCAUUCCGCGUGCAGGACGAAGGCCCUCGGGUUGUAAACUGCUUUUGUACAGAACGAAAAAUCCCUGGCUAAUACCUGGGGACCAUGACG